This is a long non-coding RNA of Colius striatus (speckled mousebird), 365 nucleotides long. RefSeq lists it as uncharacterized. The record is from RefSeq and is a predicted model, not a curated record. Lineage: Eukaryota; Metazoa; Chordata; Aves; Coliiformes; Coliidae. The transcript is spliced from 2 exons.
CGGCAGGAGCGGGCCCCGGCUGAGGCGGCAGGAGCGGGCCCCGGCUGAGGCGACAGGAGCGGGUGGCGGCUGAGGCGGCAGGAGCGGGCCCCGGCUGAGGCGGUAGGAGCGGGCCCCGGCUGAGGCGGGCGUUGGGCGGGCGCUGCCCUCAGCCACGCGCGGGGCGGGGCCGGCGCCAGGCGCGGCGUGUGCGGAGCUGAGGGCACCGACAGCUCGACCCGGAGGCAGCGCGGGCCGCAGGCAGUGCUACGGGAGGCGACUCCAAGUCUACUUCUGAUGCCUCAGAGUAACAACAGAGAUAUCGGUGCUGUGUUCAGUGUAUUCUUCAAGAAUCAAUGGGAAUCAAAGUGAGAAUUCCACCAUGA